UGGUAUUUCAGGAUGUUCUCAUUUGCAAAUGACAUUUUGCUGUUGCCAGAAUACUUGUAUUUUCUCCUUGAUACCUUUGCUUUCCUUACCAGCUUGACAGCUUCCUUGGCACCUAAAUACUGAUUACAUAUGUGCUAUGAAAGGGCUUCUGUUUCUAUUUAGACUGCAGAAAAAAAAAUCUUAAAAAGAGGAAUUAAAAAAUAAAAAAAAAUCAAUAUUGCUGGUGAAAUAAUAAUUACAUAAUAUUUCUUACUUGAAAAUAAUUUUAAGAUCAGGAUGAAUUAAUUUGGCAUUACUUCUAUCUGCUUUCUGUCCUGGCACGUAAAGACUUUAGGUUGAUUACUUUAAUACCACACAUUUCCACUUCUCCCUGGUGACCUCUAUAUGUGUGGUUUGCUGCAACUCAAAGCCCACCAUGGAAGAUACAUUUCUCAAUUUGUGCAGUAUAUCCUACUAAGCAUUGACGACUUGCUGCUGUUAUAAAAGAAACAAGGCUAUUCUUACAAAAUCAAACUAAGCUUGAAAAUCAUCUGUUCACAGGAUGACAAAGAACUGGAAGAUUGUCAGUUUGGACUUACAGAAACAUAAAGAAUGUUUGAGAAUCUUCCAGUGCCUAACCUCGAGGAAAAACACGGUUGAAAGCCUAUGGAUCCCCAAGGCUACCAUUCUGAGCCAGUGUGGUAUCACAGCAACCUGGAAUGUUGACGAGAAGGGCAGUGCCAGCCAGAGAUCGCAGCCAAGUACCCCAGUGACCAAGGUCUGUGGCGGACAACAGCAGAAAUACGGAUAAAUGGCGGCUACUCCUCCUCAGUCUCAUACUCACAAAGGGAAAUAAGGACACAGCAGAGUGGCGAGACGCUCCUGUCAGCACCCGCAUUUGGCUCCCAAUGAGAGGGAUGUGCCCUACAGAAC
RNAcentral lists this long non-coding RNA (912 nucleotides) under Gallus gallus (chicken). Its description in RNAcentral is "lncRNA (ENSGALG00010009667.1)". Lineage: Eukaryota; Metazoa; Chordata; Aves; Galliformes; Phasianidae. The record is from RNAcentral.